Megalopta genalis is the source of this 2801-nucleotide non-coding RNA. Lineage: Eukaryota; Metazoa; Arthropoda; Insecta; Hymenoptera; Halictidae. The record is from RefSeq and is a predicted model, not a curated record.
GGUGAACGUGAUCUGCGAAAGUAUGAAUUCAGAUUUGGAAAACCUGUACGAUUAUUCAGUAUUUAUUCACACGAUUCCGAUACUGAGAGUAUAAUAUGCACUUAUUCGUAUUUAUUUUAGGUAAAGCGGUCGAUUUGCUAUUUAUAAAAACAUUGCUUCAAUUUUGGUUAUGUCUCGCGAGCCGUUAGUUGCCCGUGCCUGACUUAUAUGUUGAAUGUCCAAAUAUGUCCACGCAGUUGCUGCAGAGAAUUAAUCAGCGUCAAUGGACUUAACUAUAUUUAUAUACAUACUCUUUAACUAUAUUUUUUAUCGAUAUUGAUGACAGAGGCGGUUGUGGUGCAGGAUGUGGUCGCCUUCGGUGGUCACGGAGUCCGGAUUUUCGCGACAAUUUCUGCCCAGAAAUGUCGCGAACGUACGGCUUUUUGCCAACAUGGCCGAAAAGUCGCUCCGCUUGCGAGAGUAUUUCCAGCAAAUGAGACACGUGCGAGACUUUUCGUCAAUGUGAAUUAGCAUGUGUGCUAAAAUUCUGCGAUCUCCAAUUACUUCACCAUAUCUCGGACAUACUAUGGAGGACCUCUUUGUAAUGUUUGAGCGCCAUUGCAUACAGUAGCAGACAUACAUGUUAUGUCUCGCGAGCCGUCGGUUGCCCGGGCCUGACUUACAGAAUGCCCUAACACGUCCACCCAAUGUUGCUGCAUAAAAUUAAUCAGUGUCAAUGCUCUUCUGUUUUGCAUACCGGCACAUCCCGAGAAACGUCCUUAACUGUACUUUUUACAGAUCCUGAUGGCGGAGGCUGUUGCGGUCCAGGAUGUUGUCGGCGCCGAUGGCGGCGGAGCGCCUUUUCCUCCGAGAACUUUUUCUCGCAGACAUCGCAGGCGAACGGCUUUUGACCGGAAUGGUCGAGAAGAUGUAUCUUCAAGCUGCUGAGCCUGCGGAAGUAUUUCUUGCAGAUGGGACAUGUGUUCGAUUUCCGGUCGUUAUGCAUCAGCAUGUGUGCCGAGAAUUUAUAAUCCCGGAUCAAUUUACCACACUUCGGACACGUGACGGAGGACCUCCUCGCGAUGUCCGAGUGCCAUUUCAUGUGUCGGUCCAGGGUCACCUGGGACUCCAGGACGCUGCCGCAGAUGAAACACUUCGUGACGAGGUGGUCCAGUUUCAUGUGAUGGGUCAGGUCGCUCUUCACCUUGAACUCCCUCGGGCAGAUCUCGCAGACGUACGCGUACUUGUCGGUGUGCUGGCGAAGAAUGUGUUCCGUCAAUGUCCUGCUGUUUUGGGUCUUGAAGUCGCACUCGGUGCAAGGGUAUUGUGCGGAAGAACUCGGUACAAACGUUGCACGGAUACUUGUACGACAUCAUGUGGCUGCGGAGAUUGGACUUCAGGUAGAACACCUUGCCACAACGGUCGCAAUACAGAGGCCUGCAGCCCUUUCCAUUGUACGGCUUCUGCGCUUGAUGCGACGGAAUCGCUUCGGAUCUUGCGGCGGUGUCGUCUCUCGAGUUAACAGGCGGCAAAUUAUUUUCGGAGUUCGGGAUUAAUGGUUCCGACGAUUGCUGGUGACCGCCCGUUUGCGCGCAGUCUACUAAUAGGUCUCGAUGACGUCCUUAACAAUGUCUUUGAUCGAUACCGGCGGUAGCGGCGGUUUUGGCCCAGGAUGCAGCCGCUUUCGGUGGUCACGGAGUCCCGAUUUCCGCGCCAACUUUUGCCCGCAAAUGUCGCAAACGUACAGCUUCUUGCCAGCAUGGGCGAGAAGAUGUAGCUGCAAGUCGCUCUGCCUCCGGAAUGAUUUCCCGCAAACGGAACACGUGCUAGGCUUUUUGCCGCUAUGCUUCAGCAUGUGUCUGGACAGGUUGCAAUCACGGAUCAGCUUGCCGCAUUUCGGACACGGUAUGGAGGCCCUCUUCUUCAUAUCCGUGUGCCAUUGCGUAUGCCGGUCCAGCGACUCCUGGGACUCCAAGGUGCGCUUGCAUCUCUUGCAUUGAUACGGCUGUUCGCCGUGCUUGCUUUUCACGUGGUUGACCAGCGCUUUGUGGUGUUUGAACACGAUGCUGCAGAUGAAACACUUCGUGAUCAGAUGGUCCUGCUUCAUGUGCUCGGUGAGGUCGCUCUUCACCUUGAACUCCCUCGGGCAGAUCUCGCAGACGUACGCGUACUUGUCGGUGUGCUGGCGAAGAAUGUGCUCCGUCAGUAUCGUCUUGUUCCGGGUUUUGAAGUCGCAGUCGGUGCACGAGUACUGGUAUCUCUCCACGGGCGCCGUGACCGGCAGCCCGUGUCUCUCUGUGACGUGCAGCAUGAUCUCCAGCUUAGUGCGGAAGACCUCUGUGCAGAUGCUGCAUGGAUACCUGUACGACAUCAUGUGGUUGCGAAGAUUGUACUUCUGGUAGAAUACUUUGCCGCAACGGUCGCAAUACAGAGGCCUGCAGCCCUUUCCAUUGUACGGCUCCUGCGCUUGAUUCGAUGGAAUCGCUUCGGAUCUUGUCGUGGCCGUCUUCUCUUUCGAGUUCGGAGACGGGAAAUCAUUUCCGGAGUUCGUGAUUAAUUUUUCCGACGAUCGGCGACCGUCCGUUCUCGCGCAGUCUACUAAUGUGUACACGUUUUGAAUAUUCCACUGGCCGAAUUCGUACAUAUUUCGAACGUCUCCGAAAGGAUCCAGCGAUGAACUAAAACAGAUCAAAGUCCGUUUCGUUAGAUUGCGAUGUACCGAGACGGUUUGAAAUCUUUUAACAGCGAGCUUCUCACGUGCGUAUAACAUAAUAGGGAUGUUUAGGGAUAUUGGAGAAUAUAUUUCGACACUUUUAGUAUAA